RNAcentral lists this ribosomal RNA (446 nucleotides) under uncultured bacterium. RNAcentral describes it as "bacterial SSU rRNA". It matches the Rfam family "Bacterial small subunit ribosomal RNA", at positions 329 to 792 of the family's 1533-position model. The record is from RNAcentral.
UGCCAGACUCCUACGGGAGGCAGCAGUGGGGAAUAUUGCACAAUGGGGGAAACCCUGAUGCAGCGACGCCGCGUGAGCGAUGAAGUAUUUCGGUAUGUAAAGCUCUAUCAGCAGGGAAGAAGAUGACGGUACCUGACUAAGAAGCCCCGGCUAACUACGUGCCAGCAGCCGCGGUAAUACGUAGGGGGCAAGCGUUAUCCGGAUUUACUGGGUGUAAAGGGAGCGUAGACGGCGAUGCAAGCCAGAUGUGAAAGCCCGGGGCUCAACCCCGGGACUGCAUUUGGAACUGUGUGGCUGGAGUGUCGGAGAGGCAGGCGGAAUUCCUAGUGUAGCGGUGAAAUGCGUAGAUAUUAGGAGGAACACCAGUGGCGAAGGCGGCCUGCUGGACGAUGACUGACGUUGAGGCUCGAAAGCGUGGGGAGCAGACAGGAUUAGAUACCCCGGUA